Molecule: ribosomal RNA, 345 nt
Filed under: uncultured Legionella sp.
Lineage: Bacteria; Pseudomonadati; Pseudomonadota; Gammaproteobacteria; Legionellales; Legionellaceae
Description: bacterial SSU rRNA
Rfam family: Bacterial small subunit ribosomal RNA
Source: RNAcentral
UAUUUGGUGGGGUAAGGCCUACCAAGGCGACGAUCGGUAGCUGGUCUGAGAGGAUGACCAGCCACACUGGAACUGAGACACGGUCCAGACUCCUACGGGAGGCAGCAGUGGGGAAUAUUGGACAAUGGGGGCAACCCUGAUCCAGCAAUGCCGCGUGUGUGAAGAAGGCCUGAGGGUUGUAAAGCACUUUCAGUGGGGAGGAGGAGUGAUUGUUUAAGAGAUGAUUACUUGGACGUUACCCACAGAAGAAACAGCGGCUAACUCCGUGCCAGCACCCGCGGUAUUACUGAGGGUGCAAGCGUUAAUCGGAAUUACUGGGGGUAUAGGGUGAGCACGUGGGUAUGU